This 187-nucleotide small nuclear RNA is filed under the name Canis lupus familiaris (dog). RNAcentral's name for it is "7SK RNA". It matches the Rfam family "7SK RNA", at positions 1 to 188 of the family's 331-position model. From Rfam's summary of the family: 7SK was discovered as an abundant small nuclear RNA in the mid-70s but a possible function has only recently been suggested. Two independent studies have found that 7SK RNA binds the CDK9/cyclin T complex (known as elongation factor P-TEFb). RNAcentral also lists the same sequence under 2 other names. Lineage: Eukaryota; Metazoa; Chordata; Mammalia; Carnivora; Canidae. The record is from Rfam by way of RNAcentral.
GGUUGGUGAGGGCAGCUAGUCAACAUCUGUCACUCCAUUGCUUGUCAGGAUUCUUUUAGCCGAUUUGUCUGACUGGGCAGGUGUCCCCUCUCUCCCUCAGUGCUCCAUGUGCAUCCCUCUUGAAGCUUCGCACUCUGUUGAAGAGGACACCAUCCCAGGUAGAGAGGGGGACGGGAAACUGGGCCAA